This 665-nucleotide ribosomal RNA is filed under the name uncultured ciliate. RNAcentral's name for it is "SSU rRNA". It matches the Rfam family "Eukaryotic small subunit ribosomal RNA", at positions 329 to 1009 of the family's 1831-position model. The record is from RNAcentral. Lineage: Eukaryota; Ciliophora.
UAGUGUAUUGGACUACCUGGCUUUAACGGGAAACGGAGGAUUAGGGUUCGAUUCCGGGGGGGGAGCCUGAAAAACGGCUACCACAUCUAAGGGAGGCAGGAGGCGCGUAAAUUACCCACUCCUAACUCAGGGAGGUAGUGACAAGAAAUAACGGACCGAAGCAUUUGUUUCGGGAUUGCAAUGAGUAGAAUUUAAACCCCUUUACGAGGAUCAAUUGGAGGGCAAGUCUGGUGCCAGCAGCCGCGGUAAUUCCAGCUCCAAUAGCGUAUAUUAAAGUUGUUGCAGUUAAAAAGCUCGUAGUUGGAUUUCUGGGAGGGUGCCAAUGUCCGCUCGUAAGCGUGUGCAGCGGCGCCCUUCCAUCCUUCUGUUAACGUUUCUUGGUAUUCAUUUACUGGUUUCGGGCUCAGAUAUUUUACCUUGAGAAAAUUAGAGUGUUUCAGGCAGGCUUGCGCCGGAAUACAUUAGCAUGGAAUAAUAGAAUAGGACUUUUGUCUCCUUUGUUGGUUUGGGGACUGAAGUAAUGAUUAAUAGGGAUAGUUGGGGGCAUUAGUAUUUAAUUGUCAGAGGUGAAAUUCUCGGAUUUGUUAAAGACUAACUUAUGCGAAAGCAUUUGCCAAGGAUGUUUUCAUUAAUCAAGAACGAAAGUUAGGGGAUCAAAGACGAUC